UACGUAGGGGGCAAGCGUUGUCCGGAAUUAUUGGGCGUAAAGCGCGCGUAGGCGGCCCGAUAAGUCGGCUGUGAAAGUCAGGGGCUCAACCCUUGGAAGCCGGCCGAUACUGUCGGACUAGAGUCCGGAAGAGGCAAGUGGAAUUCCCGGUGUAGCGGUGAAAUGCGUAGAUAUUCGCAAGAACACCAGUGGCGAAGGCGGCUCACUGGCCCGGUACUGACGCUGAGGUGCGAAAGCGUGGGGAGCAAACAGG
RNAcentral lists this ribosomal RNA (253 nucleotides) under uncultured bacterium. RNAcentral describes it as "partial 16S ribosomal RNA". It matches the Rfam family "Bacterial small subunit ribosomal RNA", at positions 524 to 776 of the family's 1533-position model. The record is from RNAcentral.